Molecule: ribosomal RNA, 623 nt
Filed under: Bradyrhizobium elkanii
Lineage: Bacteria; Pseudomonadati; Pseudomonadota; Alphaproteobacteria; Hyphomicrobiales; Nitrobacteraceae
Description: bacterial SSU rRNA
Rfam family: Bacterial small subunit ribosomal RNA
Source: RNAcentral
AUGCAAGUCGAGCGGGCGUAGCAAUACGUCAGCGGCAGACGGGUGAGUAACGCGUGGGAACGUACCUUUUGGUUCGGAACAACUGAGGGAAACUUCAGCUAAUACCGGAUAAGCCCUUACGGGGAAAGAUUUAUCGCCGAAAGAUCGGCCCGCGUCUGAUUAGCUAGUUGGUGAGGUAAUGGCUCACCAAGGCGACGAUCAGUAGCUGGUCUGAGAGGAUGAUCAGCCACAUUGGGACUGAGACACGGCCCAAACUCCUACGGGAGGCAGCAGUGGGGAAUAUUGGACAAUGGGCGCAAGCCUGAUCCAGCCAUGCCGCGUGAGUGAUGAAGGCCCUAGGGUUGUAAAGCUCUUUUGUGCGGGAAGAUAAUGACGGUACCGCAAGAAUAAGCCCCGGCUAACUUCGUGCCAGCAGCCGCGGUAAUACGAAGGGGGCUAGCGUUGCUCGGAAUCACUGGGCGUAAAGGGUGCGUAGGCGGGUCUUUAAGUCAGGGGUGAAAUCCUGGAGCUCAACUCCAGAACUGCCUUUGAUACUGAAGAUCUUGAGUUCGGGAGAGGUGAGUGGAACUGCGAGUGUAGAGGUGAAAUUCGUAGAUAUUCGCAAGAGCACCAGUGGCGAAGGC